GGUGGUUCUCAGGUGACGCACCCAGAAUUGGGCUCCCUCCUCUCUGGUUCUGGAUGUGUCACCCAAGAACCGCA
Molecule: non-coding RNA, 74 nt
Organism: Myotis davidii
Lineage: Eukaryota; Metazoa; Chordata; Mammalia; Chiroptera; Vespertilionidae
Source: Rfam